UGGGGAAUCUUGCACAAUGGGGGCAACCCUGAUGCAGCGACGCCGCGUGAGCGAUGAAGGUUUUCGAAUCGUAAAGCUCUGUCCUAUGGGAAGAUAAUGACGGUACCAUAGGAGGAAGCCCCGGCUAACUACGUGCCAGCAGCCGCGGUAAUACGUAGGGGGCGAGCGUUGUCCGGAAUUACUGGGCGUAAAGGGUUCGCAGGCGGCAUGGCAAGUCCGAUGUAAAAGGCGAAGGCUCAACCUUCGUAAGCAUCGGAAACUGUCAAGCUUGAGUGAAGGAGAGGCAAGUGGAAUUCCUAGUGUAGCGGUGGAAUGCGUAGAUAUUAGGAGGAAUACCGGUGGCGAAGGCGACUUGCUGGACUUCAACUGACGCUGAGGAACGAAGGCGUGGGUAGCAAACAGG
Molecule: ribosomal RNA, 403 nt
Filed under: Fusobacteriota bacterium
Lineage: Bacteria; Fusobacteriati; Fusobacteriota
Description: Fusobacteria bacterium partial 16S ribosomal RNA
Rfam family: Bacterial small subunit ribosomal RNA
Source: RNAcentral